Molecule: transfer RNA, 71 nt
Filed under: Bracteacoccus minor
Lineage: Eukaryota; Viridiplantae; Chlorophyta; Chlorophyceae; Sphaeropleales; Bracteacoccaceae
Description: tRNA-Phe
Rfam family: tRNA
About the family: Transfer RNA (tRNA) molecules are approximately 80 nucleotides in length. Their secondary structure includes four short double-helical elements and three loops (D, anti-codon, and T loops).
Source: RNAcentral
GCUGAAGUAGCUCAGAGGUAGAGCAUGGAUCUGAAAAAUCUGGGGUCAUUCGUUCAAGUCGAAUCUUUAGC